This 78-nucleotide transfer RNA is filed under the name Verrucomicrobiota bacterium. RNAcentral describes it as "Verrucomicrobia bacterium (drinking water metagenome) tRNA-Pro". It matches the Rfam family "tRNA". Rfam says of the family: Transfer RNA (tRNA) molecules are approximately 80 nucleotides in length. RNAcentral also lists the same sequence under 9 other names. Lineage: Bacteria; Pseudomonadati; Verrucomicrobiota. The record is from RNAcentral.
CGGAGCGUAGCUCAGCCUGGCUAGAGCACUUGCUUUGGGAGCAAGACGUCGCAGGUUCGAAUCCUGUCGCUCCGACCA